Molecule: ribosomal RNA, 510 nt
Filed under: uncultured bacterium
Lineage: Bacteria
Description: partial 16S ribosomal RNA
Rfam family: Bacterial small subunit ribosomal RNA
Source: RNAcentral
GACGAACGCUGGCCGCGUGCUUAACACAUGCCAGUCGAACGAAGAGCGAUGGAAGCUUGCUUCUAUCAAUCUUAGUGGCGAACGGGUGAGUAACGCGUAAUCAACCUGCCCUUCAGAGGGGGACAACAGUUGGAAACGACUGCUAAUACCGCAUACGAUCUAAUCUCGGCAUCGAGGAUAGAUGAAAGGUGGCCUCUACAUGUAAGCUAUCACUGAAGGAGGGGAUUGCGUCUGAUUAGCUAGUUGGAGGGGUAACGGCCCACCAAGGCGAUGAUCAGUAGCCGGUCUGAGAGGAUGAACGGCCACAUUGGGACUGAGACACGGCCCAGACUCCUACGGGAGGCAGCAGUGGGGAAUCUUCCGCAAUGGACGAAAGUCUGACGGAGCAACGCCGCGGGAGUGAUGACGGCCUUCGGGUUGUAAAGCUCUGUUAAUCGGGACGAAAGGCCUUCUUGCGAAUAGUGAGAAGGAUUGACGGUACCGGAAUAGAAAGCCACGGCUAACUACGUG